CUGACUUCAGCUGCAGAAAAAGGGAGCUGUGGAGAUGCCAGCAGCUGGCUCUGUGGAGGAAGACGCAAGAACAUCGCUUCCGAGACAGGAUACCAGACAGGGCUGGGAAGCUGUGGGUUCUCAGGCAAAGAGCUGAAAGAUGCUGUCGCUCAGGUCAGGGGAGAAGAGCAGGAGGGCUGGAUCCUUGAUGGUCUCGGAGUUAAGGAGGAGAAUGCAGCUUGGACCCACAGGCCCCUCCCUCAGCAUGCAAAGAUUUCAACCUGGGGCAUCGAGACUGCUGAUGAGGCCAAGAAAAGGCUUUUACUCACACAGUUAAGCUUAGGACCAACUGGAGAGAGUGAACUAUGUGCCCUAAGCAACCACAGAGGGUGGAUGCAUCGCCUCUGAACAGCCCAUUUCCUUCCAGCUUGCCUGGCCAGCAGCCUCUGGUCAGCACACACCUGACACCUUCUCUUUUCUGCUAUGAAGCUUCCCCACUCCUCUGCCUGCCUAUGAGUCUCUGCCAGAACGCACGUGAUGGCAGCAGAUUCCCUUGCUAUAGCUAGUUCUGAAUAAACAGUUUUUGCUUGUUC
Molecule: long non-coding RNA, 572 nt
Organism: Saimiri boliviensis boliviensis (Bolivian squirrel monkey)
Lineage: Eukaryota; Metazoa; Chordata; Mammalia; Primates; Cebidae
Source: RefSeq, a predicted model, not a curated record